UACGGGAGGCAGCAGUGGGGAAUAUUGCACAAUGGGCGCAAGCCUGAUGCAGCCAUGCCGCGUGUAUGAAGAAGGCCUUCGGGUUGUAAAGUACUUUCAGUCGUGAGGAAGGUGUUAAGGUUAAUAACCUUAGCAAUUGACGUUAGCGACAGAAGAAGCACCGGCUAACUCCGUGCCAGCAGCCGCGGUAAUACGGAGGGUGCGAGCGUUAAUCGGAAUUACUGGGCGUAAAGGGCACGCAGGCGGUUAAUUAAGUUGGAUGUGAAAUCCCCGGGCUUAACCUGGGAAUGGCAUUCAAGACUGGUUAGCUAGAGUCUUGUAGAGGGGGUAGAAUUCCGAUGUGUAGCGGUGAAAUGCGUAGAGAUGUGGAGGAAUACCGGGUGGCGAAGGCGGCCCCUGGGACAAAGACUGACGCUCAUGUGCGAAAGCGUGGGGAGCAAACGAGGAUUAGAUACC
RNAcentral lists this ribosomal RNA (456 nucleotides) under uncultured bacterium. RNAcentral's name for it is "bacterial SSU rRNA". It matches the Rfam family "Bacterial small subunit ribosomal RNA", at positions 340 to 786 of the family's 1533-position model. The record is from RNAcentral.